This 99-nucleotide ribosomal RNA is filed under the name Athrotaxis laxifolia. Its description in RNAcentral is "4.5S ribosomal RNA". RNAcentral also lists the same sequence under 1 other name. Lineage: Eukaryota; Viridiplantae; Streptophyta; Pinopsida; Cupressales; Cupressaceae. The record is from RNAcentral.
AAGGUCAUGGCGAGACGAGCCGUUACAAACGAUAGGUGUCAAGUGGAAGUGCAGUGAUGUAUGCAGCUGAGGCAUCCUAAGAGACCGGAAGAUUUGAAC